AGAGUUUGAUCCUGGCUCAGAGCGAACGCUGGCGGCAUGCUUAACACAUGCAAGUCGCACGGUAUGGGGGCAACUCCAUGCAGUGGCGGACGGGUGAGUAACGCGUAGGAAUCUAUCCUUGGAUGGGGGACAACCGUGGGAAACUACGGCUAAUACCGCAUGAUGCCUGAGGGCCAAAGCUCGCGAGAGCGUCUGGGGAGGAGCCUGCGUCUGAUUAGGUAGUUGGUGGGGUAAAGGCCUACCAAGCCUGCGAUCAGUAGCUGGUCUGAGAGGAUGAUCAGCCACAUUGGGACUGAGACACGGCCCAAACUCCUACGGGAGGCAGCAGUGGGGAAUAUUGGACAAUGGGGGCAACCCUGAUCCAGCAAUGCCGCGUGGGUGAAGAAGGUUUUCGGAUUGUAAAGCCCUUUUGGCGGGGACGAUGAUGACGGUACCCGCAGAAUAAGCUCCGGCUAACUUCGUGCCAGCAGCCGCGGUAAUACGAAGGGGGCUAGCGUUGCUCGGAAUGACUGGGCGUAAAGGGCGCGUAGGCGGCUUGCAUAGUUAGGCGUGAAAUUCCUGGGCUCAACCUGGGGACUGCGUCUAAUACAUGCAGGCUUGAGUGUGAAAGAGGGUCGUGGAAUUUCCAGUGUAGAGGUGAAAUUCGUAGAUAUUGGAAAGAACACCGGUGGC
Molecule: ribosomal RNA, 672 nt
Filed under: uncultured bacterium
Lineage: Bacteria
Description: bacterial SSU rRNA
Rfam family: Bacterial small subunit ribosomal RNA
Source: RNAcentral